RNAcentral lists this transfer RNA (72 nucleotides) under Chelonia mydas (Green sea turtle). It matches the Rfam family "tRNA". Rfam says of the family: Transfer RNA (tRNA) molecules are approximately 80 nucleotides in length. Their secondary structure includes four short double-helical elements and three loops (D, anti-codon, and T loops). Lineage: Eukaryota; Metazoa; Chordata; Testudines; Cheloniidae. The record is from Rfam by way of RNAcentral.
GGGGAUCUAGCUCAGUGGUAGAGCACAGGCUUUGCAUGUAUGAGGUCCGAGGUUCAAUCCCUGGCAUCUCCA